GACGAACGCUGGCGGCGUGCUUAACACAUGCAAGUCGAACGGAAAGGCCCUGCUUGCCGGGUACUCGAGUGGCGAACGGGUGAGUAACACGUGGGUGAUCUGCCCUGCACUUCGGGAUAAGCCUGGGAAACUGGGUCUAAUACCGGAUAGGAGCCAUUUUUAGUGUGAUGGUUGGAAAGUUUUUUCGGUGUAGGAUGAGCUCGCGGCCUAUCAGCUUGUUGGUGGGGUAAUGGCCUACCAAGGCGGCGACGGGUAGCCGGCCUGAGAGGGGGGACGGCCACAUUGGGACUGAGAUACGGCCCAGACUCCUACGGGAGGCAGCAGCGGGGAAUAUUGCACAAUGGGCGCAAGCCUGAUGCAGCGACGCCGCGUGGGGGAUGACGGCCUUCUGGUUGUAAACUCCUUUCGCUAGGGACGAAGCUUUGUGUGACGGUACCUAGAUAAGAAGCACCGGCUAACUACGUG
Molecule: ribosomal RNA, 465 nt
Filed under: uncultured bacterium
Lineage: Bacteria
Description: partial 16S ribosomal RNA
Rfam family: Bacterial small subunit ribosomal RNA
Source: RNAcentral